UUCCAGACUCCUACGGGAGGCAGCAGUGGGGAAUAUUGCACAAUGGGGGAAACCCUGAUGCAGCGACGCCGCGUGAGUGAAGAAGUAUUUCGGUAUGUAAAGCUCUAUCAGCAGGGAAGAUAAUGACGGUACCUGAGUAAGAAGCCCCGGCUAACUACGUGCCAGCAGCCGCGGUAAUACGUAGGGGGCAAGCGUUAUCCGGAUUUACUGGGUGUAAAGGGAGCGUAGACGGCAUGGCAAGUCUGAAGUGAAAGCCCGGGGCUCAACCGCGGGACUGCUUUGGAAACUGUUAAGCUGGAGUGCAGGAGAGGUAAGUGGAAUUCCUAGUGUAGCGGUGAAAUGCGUAGAUAUUAGGAGGAACACCAGUGGCGAAGGCGGCUUACUGGACUGUAACUGACGUUGAGGCUCGAAAGCGUGGGGAGCAAACAGGAUUAGAUACCCGCGUAU
Molecule: ribosomal RNA, 447 nt
Filed under: uncultured bacterium
Lineage: Bacteria
Description: bacterial SSU rRNA
Rfam family: Bacterial small subunit ribosomal RNA
Source: RNAcentral